CAUUACAUACACUGCAAGCAUUGAUCGUCAAAAGGGACAAGGACCCUGAUCAAAGGUUUAUUUCAUUUGGUCGUAGCCAGGUUGCACUCGCAACAAGUGCUCUGUAGCCUUGUUUAAUAAAUGACCAGACAGGCUCAUCAGAAUUCAACUGAAAUAGGAAGUUAGUGGAGAGUAAUUCAAGGCAGAUUUAAGCAUAUCCGUCUGGAUCCCUGUGCUUCCACUCCACUGUAAUUGAUGGGGAAAUGUUAAUUAUGUUCCCAUAUAAUAACAAGACCUUGAAAAUGAAGUCAUCUUAAAAUCUCACACGAGCUAUGCUCUCUCCAGGAGUAUCAGUUUAGUAAUUUCUUGGGGGAAUGUGGCCACACAAAACUCACAGCACGAGCACGUCCGUGAACUUUGUUGGCUGUCAGGUUGUAGACUUCAUGUUUUGGCUAUCCUCUGAACACUUCUUUUGAAUUCCCAGGCUUGAGCUCGGUGACGGGAGCUCACAGACGCUGUCUAAUCGAGAGGGAAUGACAAACAGCCAGAUGGAUAAAGCUACAGAUUCAUGGAAUGACUGAAUCCUGUGGGCUUAAGAAUGCAGUCAUCUCUAAUCUGGAAUUUCACAUGAAUUUGCAUCAUAUUCAGGUUUGUUCAACUCUGAAAACUAAACUCUGCUUAAUUUGGAAGACACCAAUGGUGCUUCAAGCAUUGUACACAAUUAAGAAUAGACCUUCUUCACUAACUGCGCCUUUAUAAUGCUAGCAAAAAGUAGGCUAUGUGCAGGUUUGCAUGUGAACAUCUCACAUUAAUUUCUUUGACUCAGAAGACAUCAUAUACUAGUAUAACAUCAAAAGAUUGCUUAAAUUAUCAGUGCUGACAACAUUAAUAACCUGAUAUACAUUAAGGCUGUUUGUGUAAAUCAAGCAGCCCAUGCGUAGCACGUUCAUUAUCAGUUAUCAGACAUCAAGACUUCUUUGCUACUCAGCAUCUUCUCUAUGAUUCCUAGACAGCCCUGCAUUACAGAAAUACAAUAGCACAAUUAGUUUGCGGCAUCUUGCCUCGUCUUUACUGAAUGAUUAUGUACUACAUCUGAUUAGCCCUGAGGAAAUGAAGUAACAUGUCUUAACAGAAUGGCAUUCUCACAUGUGCUUUCCAUUCAGCCCAGCUGUUACCUGUCAUGGUUUUUUCUCUCUGUGUUUGAAGGAAUUGAUUAUUUAUUUCACUAAAAAUAUCAAAACAACCUUAAACAAGAUCAGUUUACAUUAAAAUCAAUGUUGCAUUAGAAA
Molecule: long non-coding RNA, 1268 nt
Organism: Cyprinus carpio carpio
Lineage: Eukaryota; Metazoa; Chordata; Actinopteri; Cypriniformes; Cyprinidae
Source: Ensembl